RNAcentral lists this unclassified non-coding RNA (181 nucleotides) under uncultured Cortinarius. Its description in RNAcentral is "sequence contains ITS2". Lineage: Eukaryota; Fungi; Basidiomycota; Agaricomycetes; Agaricales; Cortinariaceae. The record is from RNAcentral.
AUAUAUAUAUCAAACCUCUCUCUUGUUGAGUUGUUUGGAUGUGGGGGUUUGCUGGCCUCGUUCAGCUCUCCUGAAAUGCAUUAGCAGAACAACCUGUUCAUUGGUGUGAUAAACUAUCUACGCUAUUGAAUGUGAAGGGGGAGUUCAGCUUUCUAACAGUCUUUGGACAAGUUCAUCAUUA